Molecule: long non-coding RNA, 2747 nt
Organism: Dromaius novaehollandiae (emu)
Lineage: Eukaryota; Metazoa; Chordata; Aves; Casuariiformes; Dromaiidae
Exons: 2
Source: RefSeq, a predicted model, not a curated record
UAAUUCCGAUAACUUAUUCCCGCAUUUCCUUGCAGCACCGCGGCGGAGCGAGGCCCCUCCGGCAGCCGGGAGCCCUGGCAUGACGCCGCUCGCCAAAGCAUAAGCUCCCGGCGUUGAGGAGCUGCCGGCGUUUAAAGCCGGAGUUUCCGGACCCGCGGCAGGACUCGUCCCGCCGGCAGACGCGGAGGCCGGGCGGUUUCUCCCCUCUUGGCUUUUCUCGGCUCCCCCGAUCCGGGCGAAGCUCCCGGGAUCCCGGAGGCCUCCGAUGAUUCGGAGACCGAUUUAAGCUCCGACUUUCCUCGGCGAUUGAUGGUUCCAACCCCGAAAGCGCCGCGGGUUAUUUAUAAAGUGCCGCAAAUGGGUAAUUAAGACCGAAAUUCGUUACGUCGGUGCGCGUGGAUCCGGCACCAAACGCUCCGGAGGCCGGAAGCGGAGCGAGCGAGGCCGGAGUUAACGACUGCCGUGGAAAACGGAGCUGGUUGCUCCCGUCCGGCUCCGCACGGAGCAUUUCCCAGCGGCCGCCCAGCCCCUUCCCUGCGCUCCAGCCGCCCGGGGCGGUGGGAGGAUCCCCGGGGCAUUUGGGAAGGGAAUUUGGGAAGCGAUUCCUCGUUCCGGGCUCUUCCCAGCGGCUGCGCGUGUCCUUCCAGGGGGAAAAGCUUCGUCUUUGCAGCAGAAAGAGGGGGACAUUUGCUGGGGAGGUGAGCGCGCGUCCCCUUCCCGGGACAGGCAGCACGGACCCUUCGGAGAAGCGGGAAAGGACGGGGCUCUGGGUGGGAAAGACACAGCCGAUCCCGCCAGCCGGGUCGUCGGACACUGGGAAACGGCGGAAAAGCGCCUCGUUUUCCCCAGGAAAACGCGGAUGCCGGGAGAGGAGCGACGACCACUCCGUGCCUCAGUUUCCCGAUUCCCGCUGCAGCGGCCCGAAAUCCUCUGGAAAAACUUCCAGGGCGGCAGCUCAAAGCCGGAAAUUCCCAGAGGGGCCUUUAAUCGCCUAUUCCGCGUUUCUUCCUUUCCCACAUGGAUCCAGGCGGGAGCAGGGCACCAGGUCACUCCGAUAUCCCCGUAUCGGAGCCGAAGUCCGGUGCAGAGAUCUCUGGCGCCUUCCCAGCGACGCGGCUUUAAACCCGGCCUGGUUCCUCCGCGCUCCUUCCCUCCGCCCGGCUCCAGGUGGGAAGGAUCCGGCCCCGAGCUCUAUUUCCAGGGAUCGACGCAGCUGAUUUAAUCCCUGGCCGGGGAGAAACUCCGCAGCCGGGUGCUAAAAUUACCCGGCGGCGCCAGGCAGAGCCGGAGCGGAAAACGGGGGGAGGCGUUUUUACGGAUAGCGCGUAAGCGAUUCCCUUCCAAAUUUAAAUCCGGGUGAAUUUAAUCCUGGGAAAGGGAGCACCACGGAGCCGCGGGAUGAGCCAAGCGGCGCAAAGGGAUUCGGGAUUCGUGAUGGGAAGAGGGGGGGAACUGCGACGGCAGCGACCGGAGCGGCCAAACUUCCCUCCCAGCUCGGCAGAGUGGCUCCUUUCCCGGGAACGUGUUUUGGGAAGCGGCGCGGCCAGGAAAAGAGGCCGGAGCUGGGAAAAGGGCCGGGAAAGGCCGCAGCGUUGCUCCGGAGGCUUCGCUCCGGAGGCUUCGCUCCGGAGGGCGACGCGAUCCCCCCUCCCGGCCCCCCGCGCGCGCGAGAGGGAAAAGCGGAAGCGGCUCCGCGGCUCCGGCCUCCACUCACCGCCGCCUCCCCGGCCUCUCCGGGCGCCCGCCGGCGGCUCCCGCAUCCAGCCGCUGCUCCGAUCCCUCCCUCGCCGCGCCGGGCCAAUGCCGGAGCGCCGGGCGGCCCCGGGAAGCUCCACCCCGGCCCCGGAGCGAGCGCCGCCACCGCCGCUUCCGCUUUUCCCCUUCGGAUGAGGCGGAAAACGAGCGCCGAGGCCGCGAAAUCCGGGCCGCGACGGCAGGAUUCCCCACGGAGCCGAUGCAGCAGCUGGAACAGCCCUGCUCCCACCGGGAAUUCCCACCGAUCCCCCUCUGCUGUGGUUCCUCAGGCAACCUUGGCCGGCGGGAUGGCGACCCGGCUCCAGAAAAAAACCCCGGGAUGAUUCGGAAACCGCCGGGAUGAUUCGGGACCACCGGGAUGAUUCGGCUGUUGAGCUCGGAGCCAGCGGUUUGGGGCUGAAAAUACCCCUGUGGCGAGGGAAACUGAGGCACAGCGAUCCCGAGGGGAAGCGCUGGAUCAGCGGAAGAUCCCGGAUUUCCCCCUUGGGAAGGAUCCGGAGGGAGAAUGGAGGCCGAAGGCAGCGGCGUUGGAUCCACUUUGCCCACCCGGCCGCUCCGGAAAGGCCCCACAGCAGCCGCAAAUUCCGUUUUUAUUUAAUUUUCCCCCUUCCGCUUGUUUUAGGGACAAUCUCCCGCUCCGAGCGGUGACGGAGGGGGCAGAAAAAGGACUUUCCGCCCCCAAAUCCCCCGUGGGCGCCCGGCUCCGUGCUGCCAGCACAAUCCAGGCAGCCGAGCACGGCAAAUCCCUCCCAAUUAAUUAUGUUCAGACUAAUUAGCGCCGCGGCGACGACGGCGCAGAGACACGGGGGGGUUUUGGUGCCAUUUUUCCUUUUUAUAUGAAAAUCCGAAGCGUUGGAUUUGCUCCUCCGACGGGACAACGCGGCUCGGCGGCGCCUCCGCUCGUUUUCAUCCCGCAGACCCAAAAACGGGUGAAAGCAGCCCAAAAGCGGCAGGGGAGGAAGAGGAGGGUCACGGAGAGCGGCUUCGUCCCU